ACCUGGGAGGCUGCAAACUGUGGAAGCUGUACGCACGGUGUAGCAGACUAGCGGUUAGAGGAGACCCCUCCCAUGACACAACGCAGCAGCGGGGCCCGAGCACUGAGGGAAGCUGUACCUCCUUGCAGAGGACUAGAGGUUAGAGGAGACCCCCCGCAAACAAAAACAGCAUAUUGACGCUGGG
RNAcentral lists this long non-coding RNA (184 nucleotides) under dengue virus type 3. RNAcentral describes it as "Dengue virus type 3 partial sfRNA3". The stretch from base 6 to 77 matches the Rfam family "Flavivirus DB element". The record is from RNAcentral. Lineage: Riboviria; Orthornavirae; Kitrinoviricota; Flasuviricetes; Amarillovirales; Flaviviridae.